Molecule: ribosomal RNA, 466 nt
Filed under: Vreelandella stevensii
Lineage: Bacteria; Pseudomonadati; Pseudomonadota; Gammaproteobacteria; Oceanospirillales; Halomonadaceae
Description: partial 16S ribosomal RNA
Rfam family: Bacterial small subunit ribosomal RNA
Source: RNAcentral
CCUACGGGGGCGCAGCAGUGGGGAAUAUUGGACAAUGGGCGAAAGCCUGAUCCAGCCAUGCCGCGUGUGUGAAGAAGGCCUUCGGGUUGUAAAGCACUUUCAGUGGGGAAGAAAGCCUUGGGGCUAAUACCCUCGAGGAAGGACAUCACCCACAGAAGAAGCACCGGCUAACUCCGUGCCAGCAGCCGCGGUAAUACGGAGGGUGCGAGCGUUAAUCGGAAUUACUGGGCGUAAAGCGCGCGUAGGCGGUCUGAUAAGCCGGUUGUGGAAGCCCCGGGCUCAACCUGGGAACGGCAUCCGGAACUGUCAGGCUAGAGUGCAGGAGAGGAAGGUAGAAUUCCCGGUGUAGCGGUGAAAUGCGUAGAGAUCGGGAGGAAUACCAGUGGCGAAGGCGGCCUUCUGGACUGACACUGACGCUGAGGUGCGAAAGCGUGGGUAGCAAACAGGAUUAGAUACCCGAGUAGUC